AUUGAACGCUGGCGGCAGGCUUAACACAUGCAAGUCGAGCGGGGUGAUGGUGCUUGCACUAUCACUUAGCGGCGGACGGGUGAGUAAUGCUUAGGAAUCUGCCUAUUAGUGGGGGACAACAUCUCGAAAGGGAUGCUAAUACCGCAUACGUCCUACGGGAGAAAGCAGGGGAUCACUUGUGACCUUGCGCUAAUAGAUGAGCCUAAGUCGGAUUAGCUAGUUGGGGGGGUAAAGGCCUACCAAGGCGACGAUCUGUAGCGGGUCUGAGAGGAUGAGCCGCCACACUGGGACUGGAACACGGCCCAGGCUCCUACGGGAGGCAGCAGUGGGGAAUAUUGGCCAAUGGGGGGAACCCUGAUCCAGCCAUGCCGCGUGUGUGAAGAAGGCCUUAUGGUUGUAAAGCACUUUAAGCGAGGAGGAGGCUCUUUUGGUUAAUACCCAAGAUGAGUGGACGUUACUCGCAGAAUAAGCACCGGCUAACUCUUUGCCAGCCGCCGCCGUAA
RNAcentral lists this ribosomal RNA (503 nucleotides) under uncultured bacterium. Its description in RNAcentral is "partial 16S ribosomal RNA". It matches the Rfam family "Bacterial small subunit ribosomal RNA", at positions 30 to 523 of the family's 1533-position model. The record is from RNAcentral.